Molecule: ribosomal RNA, 433 nt
Filed under: uncultured bacterium
Lineage: Bacteria
Description: partial 16S ribosomal RNA
Rfam family: Bacterial small subunit ribosomal RNA
Source: RNAcentral
AACGAACGCUGGCGGCAGGCUUAACACAUGCAAGUCGAGCGAGACCUUCGGGUCUAGCGGCGGACGGGUGAGUAACGCGUGGGAACGUGCCCUUCUCUACGGAAUAGCCCCGGGAAACUGGGAGUAAUACCGUAUACGCCCUUUGGGGGAAAGAUUUAUCGGAGAAGGAUCGGCCCGCGUUGGAUUAGGUAGUUGGUGGGGUAAUGGCCCACCAAGCCGACGAUCCAUAGCUGGUUUGAGAGGAUGAUCAGCCACACUGGGACUGAGACACGGCCCAGACUCCUACGGGAAGCAGCAGUGGGGAAUCUUAGACAAUGGGGGCAACCCUGAUCUAGCCAUGCCGCGUGAGUGAUGAAGGCCUUAGGGUUGUAAAGCUCUUUCAGCUGGGAAUAUAAUGACGGUACCAGCAGAAGAAGCCCCGGCUAACUACGUG